AGAACGAACGCUGGCGGCAGGCUUAACACAUGCAAGUCGAGCGCCCCGCAAGGGGAGCGGCAGACGGGUGAGUAACGCGUGGGAACAUACCCUCCGGUUCGGAAUAGCUCAGGGAAACUUGGAUUAAUACCGGAUACGGCCUAGCGGCGAAAGAUUCAUCGCCGGAGGAUUGGCCCGCGUUCGAUUAGCUAGUUGGUGAGGUAACGGCUCACCAAGGCGACGAUCGAUAGCUGGUCUGAGAGGAUGAUCAGCCACAUUGGGACUGAGACACGGCCCAAACUCCUACGGGAGGCAGCAGUGGGGAAUAUUGGACAAUGGGCGCAAGCCUGAUCCAGCCAUGCCGCGUGAGUGAUGACGGCCUUAGGGUUGUAAAGCUCUUUCGCUAGGGACGAUAAUGACGGUACCUAGACAAGAAGCCCCGGCUAACUUCGUGCCAGCAGCCGC
RNAcentral lists this ribosomal RNA (444 nucleotides) under uncultured bacterium. RNAcentral describes it as "SSU rRNA". It matches the Rfam family "Bacterial small subunit ribosomal RNA", at positions 26 to 518 of the family's 1533-position model. The record is from RNAcentral.